Long non-coding RNA from Halichondria panicea, 822 nucleotides. RefSeq lists it as uncharacterized. The transcript is spliced from 4 exons. NCBI's taxonomy places the organism in Eukaryota, Metazoa, Porifera, Demospongiae, Suberitida, Halichondriidae. The record is from RefSeq and is a predicted model, not a curated record.
UUUAUCUAAAGAACAGAAAAAAGAAAAAGAAGGGGCUACCUCUAUGCAUAUACUGUAGACAGAGACAGCUAAGUGUUGUAUAAAGUGAUGCAGAUGACAAACCAUUAACAUCGGAGCAGGAGGACGCAGUCUUAGGGAGAAGCGGGAGAAGAAAACUGUGAAGAACUUUCUUCAACAUGGCCACAAAAAUCAAGGAAAGGACUGCUCAUGCAAAACACUACACAGCUGAAGUACCUGCUAGCGAUGAGGUGUACAUGUAGCUGCUUUGAGCUAACCAAGUGAGACUCAGACAUGGUGUUGUCUGGGAAACUAAUGGCCUUGAUGAACAGAAGUGAGCAGGUGGUGACUGAGUCGAGGUACCAAGGGAUUGACUCUCAGGAAACGAGUGAGAAUGGCGCUCAUAUAUUCCGGUUCAAAUUUCUCCACACUGUUGAUAUACCAGACGUCUGGUCCCCUCUUGUGUCCCACCCUCACCAUGCGUGCAUGCAGCUGCUAGGUCAGGUGCUAUCGCCAGUGCUGACACACUGAUGAGUCGGUAGUGAUGGGUGUCCCCCCCUCCAGGGUUCGUAUCGUUGUUGAGGAGGACACUGGACAGUGCCUGUGCCGAGGCAGGUGUUUUGGCAGCAGUUGGUGGGCCUGUGGUACGAUUGUUCCGGCACUUCCGGCUGCAUGGUAGUUACAAUGGGGAAGGCAUGUUGCCGAUUCUUUAGACUGAGUGGGUGUUGCAAUAAUUAUAUCAUGUACAGCUACAACACUUCAAUAUUCAGUAAGCUAGUGUUUCAACUUUGCAUUAUCUUGUAUUUUACAAUGAAUGUUAAUAAU